UACGAGGGGGGCGAGCGUUGUUCGGAAUUAUUGGGCGUAAAGGGUGCGUAGGCGGCCUGACAAGUCUGAUGUGAAAUCCCUGGGCUCAACCCAGGGCCUGCAUCGGAAACUGUCGGGCUUGAGUAUGGGAGAGGUGAGUGGAAUUUCCGGUGUAGCGGUGAAAUGCGUAGAUAUCGGAAGGAACACCUGUGGCGAAAGCGGCUCACUGGACCAUUACUGACGCUGAGACACGAAAGCGUGGGUAGCAAACAGG
Molecule: ribosomal RNA, 253 nt
Filed under: uncultured bacterium
Lineage: Bacteria
Description: partial 16S ribosomal RNA
Rfam family: Bacterial small subunit ribosomal RNA
Source: RNAcentral